Molecule: unclassified non-coding RNA, 497 nt
Filed under: uncultured Glomus
Lineage: Eukaryota; Fungi; Glomeromycota; Glomeromycetes; Glomerales; Glomeraceae
Description: SSU rRNA
Rfam family: Eukaryotic small subunit ribosomal RNA
Source: RNAcentral
AGCAGCCGCGGUAAUUCCAGCUCCAAUAGCGUAUAUUAAAGUUGUUGCAGUUAAAAAGCUCGUAGUUGAAUUUCGGGAUUGACACAUCGGUCGUGCCUUAAGGGGUAUGAACUGGUGUAGUCAAUUUCUCACCUUCUGGAGAACCGCGAUGCCCUUAAUUGGGUGUCGCGGGGAACCAGGACCUUUACUUUGAAAAAAUUAGAGUGUUUAAAGCAGGCAUUUUGCUUGAAUACAUUAGCAUGGAAUAAUAAAAUAGGACGGCAUGAUUCUAUUUUGUUGGUUUCUAGGAUCACCGUAAUGAUUAAUAGGGAUAGUUGGGGGCAUUAGUAUUCAAUUGUCAGAGGUGAAAUUCUUGGAUUUAUUGAAGACUAACUACUGCGAAAGCAUUUGCCAAGGAUGUUUUCAUUAAUCAAGAACGAAAGUUAGGGGAUCGAAGACGAUCAGAUACCGUCGUAGUCUUAACCAUAAACUAUGCCGACUAGGAAUCAGACGAUGUU